UGAACGCUGGCGGUAUGCCUAACACAUGCAAGUCGUACGAGAGUUUUUAACUCUAGUGGCGGACGGGUGAGUAACACGUGAGAAUUUACCUUUAGGAGGGGGAUAACAAUCGGAAACGAAUGCUAAUACCCCAUAUGCUUUCGAGUGAAAUGGAAUUAUCCGCCUAGAGAGAAGCUCGCGGCUGAUUAGCUUGUUGGUAAGGUAAUGGCUUACCAAGGCGACGAUCAGUAUCUGGUUUGAGAGGACGAUCAGACACACUGGAACUGAGACACGGUCCAGACUCCUACGGGAGGCAGCAGUGGGGAAUUUUCCGCAAUGGGCGAAAGCCUGACGGAGCAAUACCGCGUGAGGGAAGACUGCCUAUGGGUUGUAAACCUCUUUUUUCAGGGAGGAAGUAAUUGACGUGUACCUGAAGAAUAAGCAUCGGCUAACUCC
RNAcentral lists this ribosomal RNA (435 nucleotides) under uncultured bacterium. Its description in RNAcentral is "bacterial SSU rRNA". It matches the Rfam family "Bacterial small subunit ribosomal RNA", at positions 30 to 504 of the family's 1533-position model. The record is from RNAcentral.